CAGGGGCCCUCCACAGUGGGGCUCUCUAAGAGCCUCUGCUGAAUUUAUUUGGCUGACACAGAAAAACAACUUCCUGAACUGCCUGAUGAUAACCCUUCAGCACAGCUAAAUGAUGUCUC
Non-coding RNA from Tupaia belangeri (northern tree shrew), 119 nucleotides. The record is from Rfam. Lineage: Eukaryota; Metazoa; Chordata; Mammalia; Scandentia; Tupaiidae.